This 819-nucleotide long non-coding RNA is filed under the name Triticum aestivum (bread wheat). Its description in RNAcentral is "long non-coding RNA (TAES_LNC006017)". Lineage: Eukaryota; Viridiplantae; Streptophyta; Magnoliopsida; Poales; Poaceae. The record is from RNAcentral.
ACUGAGCAGGUGGGGUGCGGCACAGGGGGCCCGGAAGGAGAAAGGAGAGGAGAUGAGGGCUGAGUGGCUCCGCAUGUAGUACAGUAGUGCGUUCUUCCCUUCGAUUUCCUACAGACCUACAUACUAUUCGUAGUCGCCCCCUUUUAUCGAGCUGUGAUGCAGAUGCUUGCGCAUUGGCUUUGGCUUCAGAGGGAUCGACCAAGAAAAUGAAGAGCACAAGAUCGAAGACUGCCAACGUGCGCGGGCUCCUCUGUUCAAGCAGUUAUCGUCUUCCGCUGAUAAGCAGCAAGCGUGGUGACUGAGACGGACGGGAGGAAGUUUGGAGGCUCCAGACAAGGCGACAAGUGAGUACCUUCAAUUUGUUUGUUGUUUCAGUGGGAUUACCCGCGGAACUCGUUGUAAUGUUAAAUUUCUGACUGGUAUGCAGUUCGAUGUGUAUGUGCCGUGGGGCAGAAGGAUCCGCCUCUUGGCCUGGUUGCAGCGGGAGAUCUCUAUUGGGAAAUUGAGAAUUUUCCGUAGUGUGUGCGGAAGUGUCGUUCUUCUGAAUCGAGCGAAGGGAGUUAUAAAGGAAGAUCUUGCCCUAUUCUUUGAGUUGAAGCUUGGUUUCCCAAUGUUAACCUAGAUCUGCAAGAACACGAUCUUGCAGUUUUGGACUUCGUCACAAUAUAUCACCAAAAUUAAUCAAGUUCUUGUAUUUGGAGAUAGAGAGGCACAAUCCAGGCUCCGCGCUCUAGAGAAAUUGAAGACCUUCUGGGGUUCUUAUCCAUGGAGCAGCAGCAGAGCUUCGAGGAGAGGACGAGCAAAGACAGCCCCUAGAAG